CAGCCGCCACGGUAAUACGUAGGGUGCGAGCGUUAAUCGGAAUUACUGGGCGUAAAGCGUGCGCAGGCGGUUCGUUAAGACAGAUGUGAAAUCCCCGGGCUUAACCUGGGAACUGCAUUUGUGACUGGCGAGCUAGAGUAUGGCAGAGGGGGGUAGAAUUCCACGUGUAGCAGUGAAAUGCGUAGAGAUGUGGAGGAAUACCGAUGGCGAAGGCAGCCCCCUGGGCCAAUACUGACGCUCAUGCACGAAAGCGUGGGGAGCAAACAGGAUUAGAUACCCCCGUAGUCCCUGUCUCUUAUAC
RNAcentral lists this ribosomal RNA (301 nucleotides) under uncultured bacterium. RNAcentral describes it as "partial 16S ribosomal RNA". It matches the Rfam family "Bacterial small subunit ribosomal RNA", at positions 509 to 807 of the family's 1533-position model. The record is from RNAcentral.